GUCCCCUUAUUUCUCAAAAUCGGUCGGUCACUCACUCCUCGUCUCCGCAGCAAAAUCCAUUUCAUCUCAAAAACCUAAUCUCUUCUUCUACUUCUGCCAUUAAUACUGUUAAGAUCAUUUGUUCUACAGUAGGGGGUUUGAAAUGGGUAACUUUAAUAUGCUUCCGGGAGAUAUCAUCUUCAACAUCUUCACACGUUUACCAACAGAAUCAGUUUUAGACUGCAAGUUGGUCUCAAAAUCUUGGAGUAGAGUUAUUAAUCAUCAAUCGUUUUCUCAAUCUCACUUAAAUCACUGCCUUAACAGUCUUGAUUCUGCUGGUAAGUUUACUUUUCUUUUUCUGAAUGACAAUCCAAUCUAUGCAUACAGACAGUUUCAUUAUUUGGAAUUUUAUGAUGAGAAUUCUUCUUCAGAGGAACAACCCUGCCAUAGAGUUACAAGAAUGAAACUAAACCCUGCUCCCUUUAUGUAUUAUGAUUUUGCUGGUUCCUGUAAUGGUUUAGUUUGUCUAAAUGGAUGCCAUGAUAAUGAGAGGGUGAAUUAUGAACCAGUUUAUAUCUGUAAUCCCAUCACCAGAGAAUGUGUGUUUCUCCCGGAAUUUGAGAGAACAGAUGAUCGUGGUCAACAGUUGGAGACUGGAUUCGGUUACGUUUCUUCGACUAAUGAGUACAAGAUUGUUAGAAUGUACAGCUUGUUGAAAGAACCCACUUUUGUACAUGUUGAGAUGUACACACUUAGCAGUGGCAAGGGAUGGAGAAACACAGGGGAGAAAUUCGACAAAGGCCUGGAUUUGUUUAUUUAAUACCCACGGUUUGCUUCUGAAUGAAUCUCUUUAUUGGGAGUUUAAAACUGGUGAAGUUGUGGCUUUUGAUUUGGCUAAUGAAACUUUUGCCAAUAUACCUACUGCUUUUCCCGCUGAUUGGCAUUUUAAACUUGGGGUUUUGGGGGGUUAUUUGUCGGCUACCCACUAUGAUAAAGAUUCAAAUACUUCUGAUAUAUUUCUAUUGAAGAAGGAGGAGGAGGAUGGGUCAUUGAGUUGGAUUAAAGAACUCAGUUUAAGCAACACGAAUGCAUAUGAAUCUCUUGCCCUCAUGAGUAGGGGUACAGUUUUAUGUCGCUCCAAGACGAAGGUUCAAAGAUAUGACCUAAAUUCUUCAUCUUCAAAACUGCUUGUGGAUUUUGGCAGGGAUAAGUGUAUAUUUCAAGCAAUCCCACAUAUGAACACCUUGGUUUCAUUAAAAGCAUUAGGAGAAGAAAAUACAAAAACAAUGGAAAUGGUUGACGUACCAAGAGAGGUAGCAUUUCAAAAUAGGGGUGAUGUGUUGUAUCAAGGGUGUAGGCUGCAGUAGGAAGGAAUGUAUCUGCCCGUGACUACAUUUAAUAUGGCAAUAUUCCUUUUGAAUUUGGGCCUUACACGUAAAGUACUAUUUCAUGUUUAUCUUCUUUAUUUUUGAGUUUGCAAAUUGGAGUUUAGCUAUCUUCUUUGGCUAUUUGUGCUUCAUUUUCUAUCACUGUCUUUAACGUGAUGCAUAUAUUAUAUUUACUUUUGUGUUUGGUGAGUUUUACAGGAGAGUGAGGUUACAACUUAGAGGCACAUACAGUAUAUCGGCAGUUAGACACUUUAUUCACUAGCAAAUAAGUGCGUAUAUAAAUAGUUGGUACACCCACUUCACGCCUGCUUUUAUGGAACUGUACAUCUGCGAACUCUGUACUUAGGUUCUCUGUUAUUGCUAUUACAUGUGAAUUCUUGUUAUUAGUUGUACUGAUAUAUGCUUACGAACUCAGUGCUUUGGUUAAUGACUUGCAUUCAUCCAGCAUUCUAGAUUGGGUUUCAAAUAUUGUUAGAGUACAUCUUGAGCAUCUCUCUUGAUAGCUACUUCUCUCUGUAUGUUUUAAGUUUUCUCUUCUCUUUCACACUCAAAGCACUUGGGAUAAUUUGCUUCAUCAGAAUGGUUGCAUCUGGUUCUGCACUUUUAGCUGGAAUCAAUUAGCGUAAUACCAGCCUCCUCAAUAUCUAAAUGAUUCAACACAUUGAAUUUUGGUGCAGUUGUUAAGAUAGUUACCAAUUCUUUAUAAACUAGUUUCCUCAGACAUGUUUCAUUUUAUGAUAUAUACAGUAUUUGUCUGGAUCCCGCCCAAGCAGAUUUGAUUUAUUUAAUGGUAGUUGGUAGAUUAAGGUUACAAGUUAGAGGAAUACAUCAUUAUAUGACCCAACUCGCCCAGUCUGACAGUGUGCCACAACCAUUUUGCAUGGUUGAAUAUAAAGAUAUUGAUAUAUAAACUAGAAUGGGUCAGUCCCUGUACCAACCAGCAAGAAUUAUGCUUUUACACUGUAUUAACUGCAAUUGAGCUAAUUGUCUGUUUUUUCUAUGCUACACUUCAUUUCCUUCCACAAGACAAGGCUCAAUUCUAGCUAGGCUCCUUGCACCAUACUACUGGGAAUAAGAACAAAUAAUAUUUCUGUUAGCAGCAAGGACUUAGGCUUCUUUGACUGAGAGGAUGAGUGCAUGUAUAAAUUGUUGAUGUACUCGCUUUGCGCCUGCCUGUACGGAACUGAUGUCUGCCUGCCUGUACGGAACCGAUGUCUGCAAACCGUGUACUUAGGUUCUCUAAUAUUGCUAAUACAGACAUACAGUAGAAUUCUUGUUAUUAGUCGUACUUGUAUAUGCGCUUUUGUUAAAGACUUGGAUUCACCUAACAUUUUAGAUUGAAUUCCAAAUAUUGUUGUACAUCUUGAGCAUCUCUCUUUAAAGCUACUUCUUUCCAUCUGUUUUUAGUUUUCUCUUUACUUUCACGGCCAAAGCACUUGUAAUAUUUUUCUUCUUCAGAAUGUUUGCAUCUGGUUCCUUACCGUUACCAGCAACCAAUUAGUGCAAUACCAGCCUCCUCAGUAUCCGUAGGAUUCAACACAUUGAACUUUGGUUUAGUUGUUAGCAUAGUCAUCUAUUCCUUCUACAUUUGUUUCCUCAUCAUUUUAGGAUAGAUAUAGUGUCUGUCUGGAUCCCACCCAAGCAGAUUUAGAUUUGGGCAUGGUACUACUUCCAUUUGUUGCAGGAGAUUCCACCCCAUUGUAUGCUCCCUGAAGGAAGUUAAUUGCUAUACUGUAUCUGGUUCUGCAUCCUUGAAAGUUACCUGCAGUUAGAUUAUUCAGUUCCGCGUCUCUGUAUGAUGUGGACAUAUUUUCUGGAUCUUACCCAAGCAGUUAUUGCUGAAAAAUUUGGUAAAGGCCAACUCUGGUUUUAGUCACACACAGUACUGUAUGUGGCUUAAGGUCGAGUCAGAAUUACAACUGCAACUGACUUCUUGUUACUCCCUGAUUCUGGAGCAAGUUUAAAUCUCUCCCAAUUGUGAGACUCAGACGACUACUUAUGAUGCUUUGGGAGUAAAUCUGCAGAUUAAUCUCAGCCCUGGGCAUCUUAUCAAUGGAAGAUUAUUUUUGCUUCGGGUGCCAUGGAUGAGCUAACAAAAGGCUUACAAAAGACCUUAGUGAUGUUCGAGGUUGUAACAUUUGAUGCUGGGGAAGCAGAAAUACGAUGCUGCCACACAGUUUGUUGAGGGAGAAGGCGUAAAAAAGCUUCCUAUGAUGCUGAUGAUGUUUAGGAUCAUCAGUUCACUUAUGAAGUCAUGAGUGAAUCUGAAAAGGACAAAAAGAGAGGCAUGGGUCAAAACAUAUGGAGAAUGGACUGAUAAUGGAUCACUGCCCAAUUAUCUAUUUGCUUACCUGAAGACAUGUUCAAUCCAUGGGUAUGUUUCCGUGUUGCUAGAGUUUUUCUGUUGAACUAUCUAGUUUCUUAUGCAUGUUGGUGAUGAUCAUUAAAGCAACCAUACAACUUGUUUAGUUAAUAUCUAGUUUCUAGGCAGCAACUUAAACAGACAGAACCAUGUGUUUCACGAUUAAACAUCUUCUUCUUGAACAUAUUAAUCAUAAGAAAACCAAACGACUUGAGUCAGGCUUAAUUGAUUCCUACCUAAUCUGGCGGCUUGGAAAUUAUUAUACAGACACACACAAUCUAUAUUGCGGGAGCCAAAAUCUGAGCUCUUUAUAAGAUUGAAUAGAUUUCUUAAGAUAAAAAGAGCAACCGCCAAACACAUCUGUUAUUUGCUUUACUCUUUUCUUUAAAUUCCUUCACAAGAUUGUAUAGAGUCUAUCUCAGAUUAAGUGAGUAACUGUGUCGUGGUUUAAAGGUCCCGAGUUGUAUAUUUAUCACUAUGGAUGUGAGAUCCGUUUAUGGAGGCUUGAAAAUAACUGCAGUAGUCCUGCUGGGCUUUUGGAUUUCACUUUCCAAGCAAUUGUUACUGAUCAUCUUACUGAUUGAAAAGCUGCUUUUCAACUCACCAUGUGAAGUUGCCAACUUGAAGGCAUGUGUGGUUUGUCCAGUGAGUAUUGCUCUCAGCUCCAACCAGAAGAUCAAACCCUGCCAAUAUCAAGGCUGAAUACUAGUUCAGAAGUUUUGAAUCAAUGCAACAGAAGAUCACAAAGAAGGGAUGGAUCUAGUUCGGGUUCUCUGUGUCUUUGUCGAGUAACUUACGGAAGCUGAAUAAUAACAAGUGUCCGCAAUUUAAUAGUAGUAUGAUCGUGAGGCGCCACUUCUAGGCACACACUAGUGACUUGUACGGCCACAAGUUUCAUACAGGAUGCAUCUGGCAUGUUUCUCAGGAAGAUUAUUAUUCAUGCCUUCAUGAGAGGGUAGUUACCUUGGAUUUUCUGGUAAGCCUCUCUCCUUCAUAUUCAAUUUAAAGAUUACUUUAGAUAGACCAAUUUCUCAGGAGA
Long non-coding RNA from Papaver somniferum (opium poppy), 4768 nucleotides. RefSeq lists it as uncharacterized. The record is from RefSeq and is a predicted model, not a curated record. NCBI's taxonomy places the organism in Eukaryota, Viridiplantae, Streptophyta, Magnoliopsida, Ranunculales, Papaveraceae. The transcript is spliced from 3 exons.